RNAcentral lists this ribosomal RNA (402 nucleotides) under uncultured Sphingobium sp. RNAcentral describes it as "bacterial SSU rRNA". It matches the Rfam family "Bacterial small subunit ribosomal RNA", at positions 355 to 774 of the family's 1533-position model. Lineage: Bacteria; Pseudomonadati; Pseudomonadota; Alphaproteobacteria; Sphingomonadales; Sphingobiaceae. The record is from RNAcentral.
UGGGGAAUAUUGGACAAUGGGCGAAAGCCUGAUCCAGCAAUGCCGCGUGAGUGAUGAAGGCCUUAGGGUUGUAAAGCUCUUUUACCCGGGAUGAUAAUGACAGUACCGGGAGAAUAAGCUCCGGCUAACUCCGUGCCAGCAGCCGCGGUAAUACGGAGGGAGCUAGCGUUGUUCGGAAUUACUGGGCGUAAAGCGCACGUAGGCGGCUAUUCAAGUCAGAGGUGAAAGCCCGGGGCUCAACCCCGGAACUGCCUUUGAAACUAGAUAGCUUGAAUCCAGGAGAGGUGAGUGGAAUUCCGAGUGUAGAGGUGAAAUUCGUAGAUAUUCGGAAGAACACCAGUGGCGAAGGCGGCUCACUGGACUGGUAUUGACGCUGAGGUGCGAAAGCGUGGGGAGCAAACA